UCAAAUAAAACAUGGAGGAGAGUGUUCUGAUUGUUGUCCUGCUGAACGGACCCACUGCAGCCGCAGAAGCCUGGGGAGGAGGGGGGCUUCAUCAAAGCUCAGGCGAGAUGGACUCAACAACAGUGGAUUAAGGUCUUCUGCAUGAUAAAGUCCCUACCUAGGGGUGGAAUUAGCUUAAUAUGUGAAAGAAUGUUAUUGAGAGGGAAUAAAGUGCCAAAAAGCUCAGUCAUUCUCUUCGUAAUGUCCUAAUCCAGCGCCUGACACAGAGACCUUGGGCUGGAGUUUGUUAAUCACAGAGAUGCCCAUCUGUAUCCCCUGUCCUUUAAGCUAUUUAAACUUCGCCUAAACUCAAUUAUUGUCCCUGGGAGACCAAAAUGGCAUAUUAAGUUACGUGAAAGGGUAUUCACGCCAAGAAGGGGAAA
Long non-coding RNA from Oryzias melastigma (Indian medaka), 422 nucleotides. RefSeq lists it as uncharacterized. The record is from RefSeq and is a predicted model, not a curated record. The transcript has 2 exons. NCBI's taxonomy places the organism in Eukaryota, Metazoa, Chordata, Actinopteri, Beloniformes, Adrianichthyidae.